Long non-coding RNA from Hyla sarda, 949 nucleotides. RefSeq lists it as uncharacterized. The transcript is spliced from 3 exons. The record is from RefSeq and is a predicted model, not a curated record. NCBI's taxonomy places the organism in Eukaryota, Metazoa, Chordata, Amphibia, Anura, Hylidae.
GGAUGUUUGAGAUGUUGUAAAUAAACUUAAAUGAUUUUAUUUUCCAUACACGGGAGCUGGAUGCUGCUCUUUCUCAAGAAAACUGAUCACAGGCUCCAGCAGCUGGAACCAACUACACAUAUGGAAGGAGCAUUAAUUCUGAGACAAGCACCUAGAGCAGGACCUACCCUGCCCACUCAGCCAAUCAAGAGCCACAGUGCUCCUUUAAGACCAGUGACUGGCUAAGAGAUCUGAAGAAGAUUCAUUCAAUCAACUGAUUGCCACUUAUAUACAGAACUAUGGAAGGCUCUCCAACAUGCAUUAUGGUGCGUUCUUCAGAGAAAUGCCUUUCUGUGUUUGUAAUUACAGACAUAUAAAAAAAGAUUAUUCCUAGAUAAGCUGAAAUGCAUGUCAUAGCACCCAUAAAAAUCUUUUUUAUCCGCCCGCUCCGCUCCCUUUGGCUAGGCCAAUGCCAGAUAGAAGUAUGUAUUUCCAGGAGUCUUUAUGAGCAAUCAAUGUGUAAUGGAGUCACAAAUACUCUAUACUUGUCAAUGAUGUCUUUGUCUUAGAAAAUGGUUUUUAACUGCUCAAUAUCUUGUCAUACCCAAAAAGUAUUCAGACCUUUUACUAUGUAUUCUCGGCCGUGCAAGCGGAAAAGAAGACAAAUGACUUUAUCCCUGGCCGCCGCUAUCUGAUUUUACCUUGGCAAGGUCUUAAUUAUUUCCCUUUCAGUCUCAGAGGGAAAGGGAAUGAGAUAGACUGUAUCAGCGUAACCUCACUCCUGGGAAUAGGGAAACUUUACAUGGACUAUCGUUUGUAAGAGGCGCGACAAUGCAAUAAAAUAUAUCCAUGGUCUGGCUUUCUUCAUGUCCAGAAUGAACUGAGUCUGAUAGCAUUAAAUUCAGUAUUCAAAAGUGAACCCACGGCACAGAGUUACUUCAGAAUCAGCCUAAAGCAUAUUAUUGGUUGA